Molecule: ribosomal RNA, 370 nt
Filed under: Bacillus sp. PSu5_30
Lineage: Bacteria; Bacillati; Bacillota; Bacilli; Caryophanales; Bacillaceae
Description: bacterial SSU rRNA
Rfam family: Bacterial small subunit ribosomal RNA
Source: RNAcentral
UGGGUAACCUGCCUGUAAGACUGGGAUAACUCCGGGAAACCGGGGCUAAUACCGGAUGCUUGAUUGAACCGCAUGGUUCAAUCAUGAAAGGCGGCUUCGGCUGCCGUUUACAGAUGGACCCGCGGCGCAUUAGCUAGUUGGUGAGGUAACGGCUCACCAAGGCGACGAUGCGUAGCCGACCUGAGAGGGUGAUCGGCCACACUGGGACUGAGACACGGCCCAGACUCCUACGGGAGGCAGCAGUAGGGAAUCUUCCGCAAUGGACGAGAGUCUGACGGAGCAACGCCGCGUGAGUGAUGAAGGUUUUCGGAUCGUACAGCUCUGUUGUUAGGGAAGAACAGUACCGUUCGAAUAGGGCGGUACCUUGACG